CUUACUCUUGGUGGCGAGUGGCGAACGGGUGAGUAAUAUAUCGGAACGUAUCCAAUAAUGGGGGAUAACUAAUCGAAAGGUUGGCUAAUACCGCAUACGCCCUACGGGGGAAAGCAGGGGAUCUUCGGACCUUGCGUUAAUGGAGCGGCUGAUAUCUGAUUAGCUAGUAGGUGAGGUAAAGGCUCACCUAGGCUUCGAUCAGUAGCUGGUCUGAGAGGACGACCAGCCACACUGGAACUGAGACACGGUCCAGACUCCUACGGGAGGCAGCAGUGGGGAAUUUUGGACAAUGGGGGCAACCCUGAUCCAGCCAUUCCGCGUGAGUGAAGAAGGCCUUCGGGUUGUAAAGCUCUUUCGCAAGGGAAGAAACGUUACGAGCGAAUAACUCGUGAUAAUGACGGUACCUUGAUAAGAAGCACCGGCUAACUACGUG
This 433-nucleotide ribosomal RNA is filed under the name uncultured bacterium. Its description in RNAcentral is "bacterial SSU rRNA". It matches the Rfam family "Bacterial small subunit ribosomal RNA", at positions 79 to 507 of the family's 1533-position model. The record is from RNAcentral.